Pezoporus flaviventris is the source of this 876-nucleotide long non-coding RNA. RefSeq lists it as uncharacterized. The transcript is spliced from 3 exons. NCBI's taxonomy places the organism in Eukaryota, Metazoa, Chordata, Aves, Psittaciformes, Psittacidae. The record is from RefSeq and is a predicted model, not a curated record.
AGCAUGCAAUCAACCCUAGGGGUGAAAUCCUGUACUUUUCUUUCCUUGGAAGAAAAAGAAGAGUGGAACAAACUCCCAAGGAGGAACAAAGAACUAGAAGAGCUUACAUGAAUCAUCGAGUCCAUCUCCUGUCCACAACCAGUUCCUGGACCUUGCCCAAAACAUUCCAGAGGUUUCAAGAAAUAUUGAGAAAGUCGAGUCUGCAGGGGGUGCUGCACAAGCUCCUGUCUCUCAUUCCUCCCCCUCACUAACAGCAGGGAAUAAUCUGAUGUAAAUAGACGGGUAGUGCCAGAAAUGUGACAAAGAAGGAAAGAGAGGUGCUGCAUACAGUCUGAAGCAAAUGCCAUCUCACUGCCUUUCAGUAUAUGCUCAUCCCUUUGUGCUACUGUAGUGGUGCCUUGUAAAUGGAUCUUAAUUUCAUAAUAAUAUAUGGCAAUAAUUCUUUCCUGACAAGCAACCAUGACUGUGGUUGGUAAGCAUCUAUUUGAAAAUGGAAAAGCUAAAUAGGCCUUAAAGUAAUUAAGACUCAAAGAUUUUUUUCUUCCUACUGCAACUCCAAAAGAGAAUCGGCUUCAAAACAUGCCUUAAAUGUAUAAACAGUGUAUUAGCAAGGGCAUUUCUCAGUAAGGGCUGAGGAUUCAGAAUAUGGGGAUAUCGAUUACAUCCUCUUUUAGAUUUCCACAGCAGGUUUCCAAGAAGGUGGCUAUCUAGAACUGAAUAGACAACCACAUUUUUGCUGAAUAGCUAGAAAGCAAAGGAAACUCAUUAUGUGGUUUUUAAAAAGUCUUGUGAAUUGUGGAAAAGAUAUGUAAUGUUUCUGCUGAAAAAAUGCCAUCAUAAUUAUCUAUAUGUUCUUUAUUUCACGCCAAGAAUUUU